AGAGUUUGAUCAUGGCUCAGAACGAACGCUGGCGGCGUGCUUAACACAUGCAAGUCGCGUGCGCAGUUGCCGUAGCAAUACGGUGAUGGGCGCACGGCGCACGGGUGCGUAACACGUGGGCAAUCUGCCCUUUGAUGGGGAAUAACCCGCCGAAAGGCGGGCUAAUUCCGCAUAAGAUUCCCUGAACUUCGGUUUGGGGAUUGAAAGCAGCAAUGCGUCGAAGGAGGAGCCCGCGCCCGAUUAGCUAGUUGGUGAGGUAAUGGCUCACCAAGGCAAUGAUCGGUAGCUGGUCUGAGAGGAUGAUCAGCCACACUGGAACUGAGACACGGUCCAGACUCCUACGGGAGGCAGCAGUGGGGAAUCUUGCACAAUGGGCGAAAGCCUGAUGCAGCGACGCCGCGUGGGGGAUGAAGCAUUUCGGUGUGUAAACCCCUUUCGACUGGGAAGAAUGCCUCGCAAGAGGAGUGACGGUACCAGUAGAAGAAGCCCCGGCUAACUACGUGCCAGCAGCCGCGGUAAGACGUAGGGGGCCAGCGUUGUUCGGAAUUACUGGGUGUAAAGGGUUCGUAGGCGGUGCGGCAAGUUGGGAGUGAAAUCUCUGGGCUUAACCCAGAGGCUGCUUCCAAAACUGCUGUGCUCGAGUGUGAGAGAGGCUCGUGGAAUUGCAGGUGUAGCGGUGAAAUGCGUAGAUAUCUGCAGGAACACCCGUGGCGAAAGCGGCGAGCUGGAUCACUACUGACGCUGAGGAACGAAAGCUAGGGGAGCAAACAGGAUUAGAUACCCUAGUAGUCC
RNAcentral lists this ribosomal RNA (792 nucleotides) under uncultured bacterium. RNAcentral's name for it is "bacterial SSU rRNA". It matches the Rfam family "Bacterial small subunit ribosomal RNA", at positions 8 to 796 of the family's 1533-position model. The record is from RNAcentral.